This 468-nucleotide ribosomal RNA is filed under the name uncultured bacterium. RNAcentral describes it as "partial 16S ribosomal RNA". It matches the Rfam family "Bacterial small subunit ribosomal RNA", at positions 28 to 507 of the family's 1533-position model. The record is from RNAcentral.
GACGAACGCUGGCGGCGUGCUUAACACAUGCAAGUCGAACGGAAAGGCCCUGCUUUUGUGGGGUGCUCGAGUGGCGAACGGGUGAGUAACACGUGAGUAACCUGCCCUUGACUUUGGGAUAACUUCAGGAAACUGGGGCUAAUACCGGAUAGGAGCUCCUGCUGCAUGGUGGGGGUUGGAAAGUUUCGGCGGUUGGGGAUGGACUCGCGGCUUAUCAGCUUGUUGGUGGGGUAGUGGCUUACCAAGGCUUUGACGGGUAGCCGGCCUGAGAGGGUGACCGGCCACAUUGGGACUGAGGUACGGCCCAGACUCCUACGGGGGGCAGCAGUGGGGAAUAUUGCACAGUGGGCGGAAGCCUGAUGCAGCAACGCCGCGUGCGGGAUGACGGCCUGCGGGUUGUAAACCGCUUUCGCCUGUGACGAAGCGUGAGUGACGGUAAUGGGUAAAGAAGCACCGGCUAACUACGUG